Molecule: ribosomal RNA, 270 nt
Filed under: uncultured archaeon
Lineage: Archaea
Description: partial 16S ribosomal RNA
Rfam family: Archaeal small subunit ribosomal RNA
Source: RNAcentral
CAGCAGCCCGAGUGGUGGUCGUUUUUAUUGGGCCUAAAGCGUCCGUAGCCGGUCUAGUAAAUCCUUGGAUAAAUCGUCCAGCUUAACUGUACGGCUCCCGGGGAGACUGCUAGACUUGGGACUGGGAGAGGUCGGAGGUACUCCAGGGGUAGGGGUGAAAUCCUGUAAUCCUUGGGGGACCACCAGUGGCGAAGGCGUCCGACUAGAACGGAUCCGACGGUAAGGGACGAAGCCCUGGGGCGCGAACCGGAUUAGAUACCCGAGUAGUCC